UGGGGAAUAUUGCACAAUGGGCGCAAGCCUGAUGCAGCGACGCCGCGUGGGGGAUGACGGCCUUCGGGUUGUAAACUCCUUUCGCCAGGGACGAAGCGUUUUGUGACGGUACCUGGAGAAGAAGCACCGGCUAACUACGUGCCAGCAGCCGCGGUAAUACGUAGGGUGCAAGCGUUGUCCGGAAUUACUGGGCGUAAAGAGCUCGUAGGUGGUUUGUCGCGUCGUCUGUGAAAUUCCACAGCUUAACUGUGGGCGUGCAGGCGAUACGGGCUGACUUGAGUACUGUAGGGGUAACUGGAAUUCCUGGUGUAGCGGUGAAAUGCGCAGAUAUCAGGAGGAACACCGAUGGCGAAGGCGGGUUACUGGGCGGUUACUGACGCUGAGGCUCGAANGCUUGGGGGAGCAAACAGGAUUAGAUACCCUGGUAGUCCACGCCGUAAACGAUGAGUGCUAGGUGUUAGACCCUUUCCGGGGUUUAGUGCCGCAGCUAACGCAUUAGGCACUCCGCCUGGGGAGUACGACCGNCNAGGGUGG
This 534-nucleotide ribosomal RNA is filed under the name uncultured bacterium. Its description in RNAcentral is "bacterial SSU rRNA". It matches the Rfam family "Bacterial small subunit ribosomal RNA", at positions 355 to 897 of the family's 1533-position model. The record is from RNAcentral.